Molecule: long non-coding RNA, 912 nt
Organism: Solea solea (common sole)
Lineage: Eukaryota; Metazoa; Chordata; Actinopteri; Pleuronectiformes; Soleidae
Exons: 3
Source: RefSeq, a predicted model, not a curated record
CCACAAAGGACACGUGCAAUGACUAUUAGAACAUGAAUAAAACCGAACAAACUCGUGUAAAUGUCACAGCCACUUACCCGACAGCUCUUUCAAACUUUAACUAUCACACCGCACUCUACUCCUCUGUUAUUAAAGAAUGUGUUAUCAGGCCAAGUUACGAUCAAUCAUUAACAGCCUUCAAAUGAUACAAUCAUGCCUGCGUGAUAUCACCUCCACAUUAACGUUGAUCAACACAUGGAUGGGACUGUGACCUUUGAUCCCAGAGUUGGACUAAUCAAACACAGCCACUCUGUGUGUUAUUGAUCAGCUGUGGCUGGGGCUCAGUGUACAGGAUGGUGAUCUGAUUGAGUUGUGGAGAUAAGCCAACUCAGUGGGGACAACAGGUUGUCUGUGGGGAAACUAGCUCAGCCAAGAAAGAGCAGCUAUUGACCUGUUGCUGAUGGUCCUGUGCCAGCUCAAUAUGCAUGAUAUUGAGUGGCUAUGCCUCAGCCAGACAGUUUCACAUUUGCAUGCUGUGUGUUAGUUCGGUCUUAUUGAGCGAGCAGCAGUGGAUCUUUACUUGUUUGUUAACACAUUUAAUUGGGUUUACUCGUUGUGGACAUUUAAAUACACAUGGUGAGAUCUAGUUACAGUUGUAGAGGAUUUGUCCUUUUAUUUUAAACUGAAACCAUGUGCCAUUAUUUGUGUGCUGUGUCCUUUCGUCUGAAAACGGGCUCUGUCAAGCAAUACUAUCAAACCCAACUGAGGGAGCGUUUGUGGUUGUUCACCAGCAGAGCAGGGGUGGGCUGGGUCAAGAAGCAUCCGUCAACCUUCUGAAAAACUGUCUGCCCACAUGCUGGUCCCGUCACCACCUCUCAUGAGAACAUGGUAGGUGAAGAAGUAGAUGCCAGGCAGAGGGCAGGUGAAUUUGCC